GCUGGCAUAGCUCAGUUGGUAGAGCAACAGAUUUGUAAUCUGUGGGCCGGGGAUUCGAGCUCCUCUGUCAGCUCCA
This 76-nucleotide transfer RNA is filed under the name Clostridiaceae bacterium. Its description in RNAcentral is "tRNA-Thr". It matches the Rfam family "tRNA". From Rfam's summary of the family: Transfer RNA (tRNA) molecules are approximately 80 nucleotides in length. Their secondary structure includes four short double-helical elements and three loops (D, anti-codon, and T loops). Lineage: Bacteria; Bacillati; Bacillota; Clostridia; Eubacteriales; Clostridiaceae. The record is from RNAcentral.